This 400-nucleotide unclassified non-coding RNA is filed under the name soil metagenome. Its description in RNAcentral is "partial contains 5.8S ribosomal RNA, internal transcribed spacer 2, and large subunit ribosomal RNA". The stretch from base 1 to 122 matches the Rfam family "5.8S ribosomal RNA", at positions 35 to 154 of the family's 154-position model. The record is from RNAcentral.
GAUGAAGAACGUAGCGAAAUGCGAUACUUGGUGUGAAUUGCAGAAUCCCGUGAACCAUCGAGUCUUUGAACGCAAGUUGCGCCUCAAGCCAUUAGGUUGAGGGCACGUCUGCCUGGGCGUCACAUAUCGUUGCCUGAUGCCAGUUUCCUCGUGAUGGGUGACUGUGCAGGGCGAAUGAUGGCUUCCCGUGAGCAUUGUUGCCUCAUGGUUGGUUGAAAAUUGAGUCCUUGGUAGGGAGCGCCGUGAUAGAUGGUGGUUGAGUGACGAACGAGACCCAAUCAUGUGAGACCCCUACCGAAUUUGGCCUUCAUGACCAACAUGCGUCUUUGGAACGCUCAUGACGAGACCUCAGGUCAGGCGGGGCUACCCGCUGAGUUUAAGCAUAUCAAUAAGCGGAGGA